AAAAUAUAUAUAUUUUCUGGAAUUUUGCAUAUUUCGUCAGUGGACACCUACCGACAAGAUACUGUGUUGAUGUUCAGGGUAGAUUAAAUGGCGUGUCUUAUAAUGUCAUUAGAUAUUCAGGAGCCCCCUCAUUUCAACGUCCUGAAGUGACUUAGGAAGCUACUUUUGUCAACUGACACCACAGUUGAAAACAUCUGGGAGACGUUUCAUGGAAGCAUUAUUUUUAUGUCGACCUCAUAACAUUGCUAUACGUCAGAAAGUACAAUGAGAGCCCCACAAAAUGCCGUUUCUGGUAGCCACUGCGAACUUAACUUGGUCAGUGUUUACCUACAGCACCAACAAGACAACGGAGCAGAGCAGAACAGAGCCAUUGGUUUGAGGCUAUGGAGACAGUACAGUGCACCACAGCAGAGGGAGUUCAGGAGAGUCCUCAGGGACCUCAAGAUUGAGCUCAGGGGGCUCAAGAGGAGUCAUGAGAGGAGACAAACAAUGCUGCAAUGCCGGGUCUCUGUACCUUCUUGCUAAAUGCAAGUAAAAUAUGUUUCCUAUAGCUAUGUCUAUUGGGUGGACUCAUUCUGUCAUGGGAGGAGGCUGUAUUGUGUGCUGGCAGACAGUGAACUAAAGAAAAAGUACAUUGUAAAGAAGAAAUUCCCUUCACCUAUUUACACCACCUACUGUAUUGUCAGUUCCAAGGCAUGGGAGUCUCUGUUGGAAAUGUUCAAGUAUCCCACAUAUUGGCCAUCAUGUUCAAGUUAGCUAUGGAAUGGAUUAUGCCCAAUGUUAAUUUUUAAUGAUGGAUGUAUAUGUGAUGCAUGGAUUAUUCUUGGAAAUGUAUACGUGAUCUGGGAAUAAUCUGGCAAAAAAACUAUCUUCAGUGAUUGUUCACUGAGUUCACCCCUCUACUGUGGAGUGACAUUGACAGGGUUGGGAAUCAUGCCACAUGUUUUGUAUUUUCUAUCUGUGGAUCUGAAAGAUUGUCUGUCAACUGCUGUUUGGAACAGUGUGUCCCCUGGUACUUUCACUUACCGGUCUUUAAAUAAACUAUAUGGCUGUCCAUUACAGACGCAUCAGUGCUUAUAGGAUUCACUGGCUUGGGCAGAUAAAUGUCUCAACUUCAAUCAAAGCAAGUGUAUCGCUCAAGAUGAAAUUACACCGUUCAGAGGAUUGCAUUGAACUCCUCGAUACUUUUCUCAGUUGAAUGGUCGGACUGUCAUUUUUGUUGACAGCUUAUACAUUCCAUUAUCUGUUUGCAUCACUAUUAGUUUGCAUAACAGCGGAUGAACUUGUCCUAAAUACACUUGAUUUAUUGAAAAUGUUUGGCUUUCAGAUUGAGACUUAUUGAAGCAAAUAACAGGCCAGAUGUUCAAGUAAAAAUGCUGUCAGAUAUUCAUCUAUUUUUACACAAUUGUUCCCUACGGCAAGGAGGGAAGUCCUGCUUUUAGGGAUCUUGAGUAGUUUGUCAGUAUAGUUUUGCUCUGACCUUGAUGCACUCAUCUUGACAAUGCGUGUUUCCAUGUGUUUAUGUUGAAAAACAUGUGUGUUUGUAUGAAAACAUGUAG
Molecule: long non-coding RNA, 1559 nt
Organism: Oncorhynchus tshawytscha (Chinook salmon)
Lineage: Eukaryota; Metazoa; Chordata; Actinopteri; Salmoniformes; Salmonidae
Source: Ensembl